CAGUAGCCGCGGUAAUACGAAGGGGGCUAGCGUUGCUCGGAAUGACUGGGCGUAAAGGGCGCGUAGGCGGUGGCCAAAGUCAGGCGUGAAAUUCCUGGGCUCAACCUGGGGGCUGCGCUUGAUACUUGGUUGCUUGAGUGGGGAAGAGGGUCGUGGAUUUCCCAGUGUAGAGGUGAAAUUCGUAGAUAUUGGGAAGAACACCGGUGGCGAAGGCGGCGACCUGGUCCUUGACUGACGCUGAGGCGCGAAAGCGUGGGGAGCAAACAGGAUUAGAUACCCGUGUAGUCCCUGUCUCUUAUAA
RNAcentral lists this ribosomal RNA (301 nucleotides) under uncultured bacterium. Its description in RNAcentral is "partial 16S ribosomal RNA". It matches the Rfam family "Bacterial small subunit ribosomal RNA", at positions 509 to 809 of the family's 1533-position model. The record is from RNAcentral.